This 990-nucleotide unclassified non-coding RNA is filed under the name Hevea brasiliensis (rubber tree). The record is from RNAcentral. Lineage: Eukaryota; Viridiplantae; Streptophyta; Magnoliopsida; Malpighiales; Euphorbiaceae.
GUAGAGACAGCAAGAACGAUGGUGGAUGUGAAGAUGGCAAAAGUUCAUCAAGUUUUAGAGAUCAUAUUUGGCUCAACUAUGAUUUCACUGCUGAUUCUCAUGGCCAUUGGAUCAAUCAAAGUUAAAGCACAGGCAGGGCAUCUUCCUCCUGAGGAAGUGCAAGCUCUGCAAGAAGUGGCAACCCAAUUGGGCAAAAAAGAUUGGAACUUUAAAGUAGAUCCUUGCAGUAAUGACACAAGUUGGAAGACACCACUAUCCAAGGAUAGGCCUUACUAUGCCAAUAUUGUAACUUGCAAUUGUUCUUAUAUUGGGGGUGAAUGUCAUGUUGAAAGCAUAUUACUCAAAGCGCAAGAUCUUGCUGGUGUGCUGCCCCGUGCCAUUAUGAAACUACCUUUCCUCAAGAAACUUGAUCUUACUCGGAAUUACCUCAGUGGUAACAUACCAAGUGAAUGGGCUUCUACAAAGUUGGAAUUUCUGUCUGUUUCCAUUAACCGCUUAAUGGGAAAAAUCCCAAGCUAUCUAGGAAAUAUUACCACGCUUAGAGCCUUGGGCAUUGAGAACAAUAUGUUUUCAGGAACUGUUCCCCCUCAGCUUGGAAACUUGGUUAACUUGGAGAUUCUCUAUCUUGGUGCAAACAAUCUGACUGGAAAUUUACCGCUGGCUCUUAGUAAUUUGACCAAACUAACAGAGCUUAGGAUAAGCAGCAACAACUUCAUUGGAAAAAUACCCAGUUUUAUUCAAAGCUGGAAAAAUCUUCAGAAGUUAGAGAUUCAAGCUAGUGGUUUUGAAGGGCCUAUUCCUUCUAGCAUUUCUACUUUGAACAAUUUAACUGAACUAAGGAUUAGCGACUUACAUGGAGAAGGUUCAGAGUUUCCACACUUAGAGAACAUGACAGGGAUUGAGUCAUUGAUGCUGAGGAAUUGCAAUAUAUCUGGUUCUAUCCCACUAUAUAUAGCAGCAAGGCCAUCACUGAAAAAAUUAGAUCUCAGU